This 469-nucleotide ribosomal RNA is filed under the name uncultured bacterium. Its description in RNAcentral is "partial 16S ribosomal RNA". It matches the Rfam family "Bacterial small subunit ribosomal RNA", at positions 28 to 508 of the family's 1533-position model. The record is from RNAcentral.
GACGAACGCUGGCGGCGUGCUUAACACAUGCAAGUCGAACGGAAAGGCCCUGCUUUUGUGGGGUGCUCGAGUGGCGAACGGGUGAGUAACACGUGAGUAACCUGCCCUUGACUUUGGGAUAACUUCAGGAAACUGGGGCUAAUACCGGAUAGGAGCUCCUGCUGCAUGGUGGGGGUUGGAAAGUUUCGGCGGUUGGGGAUGGACUCGCGGCUUAUCAGCUUGUUGGUGGGGUAGUGGCUUACCAAGGCUUUGACGGGUAGCCGGCCUGAGAGGGUGACCGGCCACAUUGGGACUGAGAUACGGCCCAGACUCCUACGGGAGGCAGCAGUGGGGAAUAUUGCACAAUGGGCGGGAGCCUGAUGCAGCAACGCCGCGUGCGGGAUGACGGCCUUCGGGUUGUAAACCGCUUUCGCCUGUGACGAAGCGUGAGUGAAGGUAAUGGGUAAAGAAGCACCGGCUAAAUACGUGC